This is an RNA transcript of Triticum aestivum (bread wheat), 2442 nucleotides long. It is a transcript of the gene named pentatricopeptide repeat-containing protein At4g21065, with no coding region annotated. The record is from RefSeq and is a predicted model, not a curated record. Lineage: Eukaryota; Viridiplantae; Streptophyta; Magnoliopsida; Poales; Poaceae. The transcript has 3 exons.
CAACACUACGUAAAAAAGGAUAUGCCUUCCGGACUCUCGUUUACAUGGCCCCGCCGUCGUCUUCUCCUCCCCUUCCGGCAUGGGCGGCGGCGAACGCCCUCUUCCGACGCCACCGCCGCCUUCUCCCGCUCCUCCUUCCCCCGGUGUCCCUCUGCGCCCUCCUACCCGUCCUCUCCCACUGCCUCGUUUCCGGCCUCGCCGGCAACCCCUUCGUCGCCUCCCGCCUCAUCCUCGCCUCCUCGCGCCUCUCCCUCACAUUCUCCCUCCUCCUCCUCUCCCACCUUCCAGCCUCUUCCCUCUCGCCCUUCUCCUUCAACUCGCUCAUACGCGCGUCGCCUCCAGGCCUCACCCUCCGCCUGUUCGAACAAAUGCGCCGCCGGGGCGUUCCCACGGAUAACUACACCCUCCCCUUCUUGAUCCAUGCCUGUUCCGGCAGUGACAUGGCACUGGGACAGUCCCUGCACGGGAAGAGCGUCCGUCUUGGUUACAGCUCCCACAUCUUCACGCAGACGGCGCUGAUGAACAUGUACUUUGGGUGUGGCUUGGCUGUUUCCGCCGGCAGGGUGUUCGAUGAAAUGCAGGCGAGGGAUGUGGUUGCAUGGACCGGCAUGGUCUCUGGUUAUGUGGACUCUGGAAUGCACCUUCGAGCUGCUGAGGUCUUUAAGGAGAUGAGAGGCGGUGAGGAGGUUACAAGGCCUAAUGUAGCAACGUUGGUGUCGGUUGCUUCUGCGUAUGCCAGUCUUGGCUCCCUGGAGUAUGCUAAGGGGCUGCACGGCUAUGUGGAGAAGGUGGGGUUGCGAGGCGAUUUGAUUCUGACGAAUGCACUGAUGGAUAUGUAUGGAAAGUGUGGUAGCAUAGAGUCAGCUCGUGCUCUGUUUGAUUUCAUGCAUGAGAAGGACCUACUUUCAUGGACAACGAUGAUUUCAGGGUUGGCUUCUCAUGGACAUGGCAAAGAAGCGGUUGCUUUGUUUUUAAGCAUGCGCGAGGUGGGAGUACUGCCGGACUCAACCACCUUCAUCGUGGUUCUGUCUGCUUGUAGCCAUGCUGGACUGGUGGAUGAGGGGAUAUCAAUCUUCAAUUCCAUGGCGAGUGAGUACAAGGUCACCCCAGAUAUUAAGCACUAUGGUUGCAUGGUGGAUCUUUUCAGCAGGGCAGGACUUCUUUCACGUGCUUAUGAGCUUAUUGAUAGCAUGCCUUUUGAGCCAAACUUGGCAAUUCUUGGAGCAUUGCUGAGUGCAUGCAGUGUCAAUAAUGAACUGGAGAUUGGGGAACUAGUUCUCCAGAAGAUUGAUUCUGUUUGCUCCUAUAAAGGAGGUGCUGGUGUGCUUCUGUCCAACAUCUACGCUAACCAGAACUUAUGGCAUGAAGUUGAUUCCAUUAGAAGGAAGAUAAGAAAUGGUACCAUACCCAGAAAGCCACCUGGUCAGAGUUCGGUGGCAUCAGAAGUUCCUUUCAUGAGUUUGUGAUUUGGAGCUUUUAGAGAGAAAUCCACUUUGUUGUCACUGUUAACCUUGACUGGCAAAAUGGCUGAUUUUCAUGCGAACUGGAGAUGAGGUCUCUCGGCAGCAUAUUUCGCAGAUUAGCUUUCCAUAGCGCGCACAGAAACACUAAACUUCAUACGCAAACUUCUUCCCCUCACCAACUCCCCCUUAUCAUUUAGGAGAUAAGACAAAGUAUACCAUCUUAUUCACCGUUUCCAUCCGAACAAAUACACACCAUGCACUCAUACACCCAGGCGUGAUGCCUUCUUGCAGCAUUUUCACGGAGAAAGCCUGAGGCUGAACCAGUCAAAUGCAUUGUACUUAAACUGCCUUACAAAUCGCCUGGCUGGGGAUCGAAAUGUGUGGCCAGGGCCAGGGCUCAUGCGUGUGCUGUAACUUCGAGCUUCUUCGUUAACAACACAAGGACGCCCAGAACUUGUCCUUCCGGUAAAAGAAUUCAUGUUCCUGAACUGAGCUGGAGAAGUAUGCCAUCAGAGGCCCGUGAGCAUGUUACUCCCUCCUUUCCGGUUUAAACCCACACGCAUCCCUAGAUCGGCAAUUCGGCCAGUGUAAUACAAAUUGUAUAUUACCAAAGCUAUAUCAUUAAAAAAAUGUCACAUGUGAAGUCGCUAACGGUAUAUUUUUGUGAUAUAUAAACAUUGCUCAAAUCGUUGAUCUAGGUAUAUGCGUGGGCCUUUUAAACCAGGAAGAAGGUACUCCCUCCGUUUCAUAAUGUAGUGCAUAUAGAUAUUUUAAGAAGUCAAACUUUAUUAAUUUUGACCAAAUUUAUAGAGAAAAUAAUGUACAUCUAGAAUACCAAAUACAUAUCAUUAGAUACAUCACAAGACGUAAUUUCGUAUUGUAUAUAUUUGAUGUUGUAGAUAUAAAUAGUUUUUUAUUUAAACUUGAUCAAAAUUUGUAAAGUUUGACUUUGCGGAAAAUCUAUAUGGACCAAGUCAAA